This is an RNA transcript of Phycodurus eques (leafy seadragon), 2180 nucleotides long. It is a transcript of the gene named KH domain containing, RNA binding, signal transduction associated 2, with no coding region annotated. NCBI's taxonomy places the organism in Eukaryota, Metazoa, Chordata, Actinopteri, Syngnathiformes, Syngnathidae. The transcript is spliced from 14 exons. The record is from RefSeq and is a predicted model, not a curated record.
UGGAGCUGAAGAGGAGGAAAGGCAACAACCAGCGGUGGAAGAAGUCAAAUUAAUCUAUCGAUCUAAUAACUCACUUCUAUGAAUCACAAGUCCACCUGCAGUCAAGCAUCUCGGACACCUUGGAGGACGAAAUAAAUUAGGGCCCCCUUUUUUUUUUUUUUUUUGGUUUUAGGAGGGAAUCUGCUCGUCUUUUAGGCUGCAGCUGCCAACACCAGGAGCGAGGAUCUCAAUAUCGGACGCCUGCACGACCGACUGUGUGCAAAUCUGCGCUGAUAAGAAUGCAUCAAAAUAACCACUUACCCGAACUGGUGGCUGAGAAAAACACUUUGGAGCCUCAGUACGGGCAUGCUCUACGCCUGCUUGCAGAAGAAAUUGAAAAGCGAGAAGUUGAUGAACUGCAAAAAGAUGGCAUAAUGAAGAAAUACCUUGAUAUUAUCAGCAAUAAAAAUAUCAAGCUGUCGGAAAGAGUUCUCAUCCCAGUGCAACAAUACCCAAAGUUUAAUUUUGUUGGAAAGCUGCUGGGGCCUCGAGGAAAUUCCAUGAAAAGGCUACAAGAGGAAACAGGAGUCAAGAUGUCCAUCCUCGGAAAGGGGUCCAUGAGGGAUAAAGGAAAGGAAGAAGAAUUAAGGAACAGUGGAGAGGCCAAAUAUGCACAUCUGAGUCACGAUCUUCAUGUUUUAAUUGAAGUCUUUGCUCCACCGGGUGAGGCCUAUUCCCGUAUGAGUCACGCUUUGGAGGAGAUUAAAAAAUUCCUUGUUCCAGACUACAAUGAUGAGAUCAGACAGGAGCAACUACGAGAGCUUUCACUGUUGAAUGGUUCCGAUGAGUCCAGCAGAGGCAGGAAUGGACAAGGAAGGAGCAGUCUGGCAACAUCCACUGUAUCCACCAGGGCCCGCAGGAACACAGGAAGGAGCACAGUAACGCCUCGAGGGACGGCCACCGCAACACACAGCAAGCUUGCUGCAUCUGUUUUAACGAGGGAGGCUCAAACCCCGAGAUCCAGGGGAGCAGCAGUAACGGCAAUUGGAGGGUACCGACCUCCACAGAUAGCUGGCACACAUGACUCAUACGACGACUAUGGCUAUGACGAUGGAUAUGGGGGAGAAUACGACGAUGACAGCUACGAGGCUUAUGAUGAUAACUACAGCAAUCAGUCAAAGAGCGUCUCAGACUAUUAUGAAUAUGGACAAGGAACAAAUGAUGAAUCCUACAACUAUGAGGAGGAGUGGCCCAAUUCCCGUCCCAGUCUCAAAGCUCCAGUUCUACAGCUGACCAGAGGGGGAUACAGAAAACAUCCCUAUGGUCGAUACUGAAGACUGAUUGACACAGAAACAUGUGCUGUUAAAGAGGUAAGAAGUCCCGUUGUAUUGUGUCAUCAUAAAUAUUAAUACAAGCUGUAAAUUAAGAGCAAAAACCAACAUACUUCUGAAUGUAAUUUCUGAGUCACAAAUUACAGCGUUUUUUUUUUUAUCUGCAUAGUCUUCUAUGUUUCUGCUAAUGUUUUUUUUCUUUUCUUUUUUCUUGUCAUUGAGUUUGAGAUCUUGCAAUACAUCUUUUAAACAUCAUAGCAUCAUCGCUGCUGUCCAGUUAAACCCUAAACAGGUAUAAAAGCAUUGUGGUGGUCAAAGCGUAGGGGUCAUAAAACAGGACAAUGUAAAACACAGAAUCUACUCCAAGAGGGUGGGUUCAGUUACCGUCUUUGGUCACAAGAGCAGCGUGAAAUACUUGAAUCUAAAGCCCCCGGCGCAGAAUGCAGCGUGAAGAAGUGGACAAAGCCUUUCUGUUGACACAAAAACAACCAUUUUUUGGUUUGCGUAUGUUUGGAUGAGAUGAAAGUGACUGAGUUUGACUGGCAGUGACUUGCCAAGCACUAAAGCAAUGUAUUCAAAUUGCGGUCAGCAGACCAUCAGUGCUCCCUGGGAAAAUCUCAAGUCGUCAGCCAGUAAUUUGAAUUGAGCAACACCUCCAACUUUCAAGUACUAUGCGGUGAUGCUUUAAGUAACAUUUUAACUAUAACUGUACUAAAAUGUUACUGGGAGCAUUUAAUUAACAUUUUAGUGUAGUUAAUUGUCAUGUAAGUGAAAAAAGAAGAAACUGUUAUUGUUAAAUCCUAUCAACAGUUUAAAAAAAAAAACAGUUGGGAACCUUAUUUUUGAUGGGAAUUUGUUAUAUGUACGUCA